GCAACAGCUCAAAUUUGAAAUCUGGCUUCGGCCCGAGUUGUAAUUUGCAGAGGAAGCUUUAGGCGCGGCACCUUCUGAGUCCCCUGGAACGGGGCGCCAUAGAGGGUGAGAGCCCCGUAUAGUUGGAUGCCUAGCCUGUGUAAAGCUCCUUCGACGAGUCGAGUAGUUUGGGAAUGCUGCUCAAAAUGGGAGGUAAAUUUCUUCUAAAGCUAAAUACCGGCCAGAGACCGAUAGCGCACAAGUAGAGUGAUCGAAAGAUGAAAAGCACUUUGAAAAGAGGGUUAAAUAGCACGUGAAAUUGUUGAAAGGGAAGCGCUUGUGACCAGACUUGCGCCGGGCGGAUCAUCCGGUGUUCUCACCGGUGCACUCCGCCCGGCUCAGGCCAGCAUCGGUUCUCGCGGGGGGAUAAAGGUCCUGGGAACGUAGCUCCUCCGGGAGUGUUAUAGCCCGGGGCGUAAUGCCCUCGCGGGGACCGAGGUUCGCGCAUCUGCAAGGAUGCUGGCGUAAUGGUCAUCAGCGACCCGUCUUGAAACACGG
This 537-nucleotide ribosomal RNA is filed under the name Chaetomium globosum. RNAcentral's name for it is "partial large subunit ribosomal RNA". It matches the Rfam family "Eukaryotic large subunit ribosomal RNA", at positions 101 to 664 of the family's 3401-position model. Lineage: Eukaryota; Fungi; Ascomycota; Sordariomycetes; Sordariales; Chaetomiaceae. The record is from RNAcentral.